This 720-nucleotide long non-coding RNA is filed under the name Capsella grandiflora. RNAcentral describes it as "long non-coding RNA (CGRA_LNC000826)". The record is from RNAcentral. Lineage: Eukaryota; Viridiplantae; Streptophyta; Magnoliopsida; Brassicales; Brassicaceae.
AAAUUACUAAUAUUUUAUUACAUGAAAACAUAAGGAUUACAUAACCAAAAUCAAAUUAAAAAAAGAAACAAAUACCAUAGUACUUUAGAAUCAUCAAGAUUUAAGAACAUAUACAUAUAAAAAAUAUCAUUCUUCAACCACUGAUGAAGUCGACAAGCUUGUUCAAAAACUUCAAAGCCUUAUCAGAAUCAGGUUUCUGCAAAUGAAACACAUGUCCUUCAUCUUUCUCCUCAACCACUUCCACAGUCCCUCCCCACUCACACUUCUCCAGCUUCGCCGCGUAAGCCAAAGCUUGCCUCGCAAACACAUCUUUCCCAGCCACAGCAACCAAAACCUUCUCACAACCCAACCCCGUAAAAUCCGACCCGGAUCCGUUUACGUUAAACAACGGGUCGUCAGUUCCGUUCACACUAUUCGGACUCGCGACUUUUUCCCAAACCUCCGCGAUUCCGCUUCUCGUCUCUUUGUCUUGCACAUCGAACUCAUCGACCGGAUCUGUUCCCCAGAAAGCUGGAUGAACAACUCCGAUGCCUUUGAUUUUGAUACCUAGCUUCUUCUCUUCACCAGCUUUCAUCGCCAGGUGAUGCGAUAUGUUACCUCCGGCGCUGUCUCCGGCGAGGAACACUCUCCCGAAAUCCGCGUGUUUGUUAAUCCAAUCUUCAGGACCACCAGAUCCGUUAGCAUGAGAGAAGGUCCAUUGGAUCGCGGACCAUACAUNNN